GAUGAACGCUGGCGGCGUGCCUAAUACAUGCAAGUCGAGCGAACAGAUAAGGAGCUUGCUCCUUUGACGUUAGCGGCGGACGGGUGAGUAACACGUGGGUAACCUACCUAUAAGACUGGAAUAACUCCGGGAAACCGGGGCUAAUGCCGGAUAACAUAUAGAACCGCAUGGUUCUAUAGUGAAAAGAUGGUUUUGCUAUCACUUAUAGAUGGACCCGCGCCGUAUUAGUUAGUUGGUAAGGUAAUGGCUUACCAAGGCGACGAUACGUAGCCGACCUGAGAGGGUGAUCGGCCACACUGGAACUGAGACACGGUCCAGACUCCUACGGGAGGCAGCAGUAGGGAAUCUUCCGCAAUGGGCGAAAGCCUGACGGAGCAACGCCGCGUGAGUGAUGAAGGGUUUCGGCUCGUAAAACUCUGUUAUUAGGGAAGAACAUAUGUGUAAGUAACUGUGCACAUCUUGACGGUACCUAAUCAGAAAGCCACGGCUAACUACGUG
This 498-nucleotide ribosomal RNA is filed under the name uncultured bacterium. RNAcentral describes it as "bacterial SSU rRNA". It matches the Rfam family "Bacterial small subunit ribosomal RNA", at positions 28 to 507 of the family's 1533-position model. The record is from RNAcentral.